This is a non-coding RNA of Gossypium arboreum, 145 nucleotides long. The record is from Rfam. NCBI's taxonomy places the organism in Eukaryota, Viridiplantae, Streptophyta, Magnoliopsida, Malvales, Malvaceae.
UAUUAAAAGUUUUAUCUAUUUUUACUCUUAAAAAUCGGCAUGACUAACACAAUAAUCAAAUAGUAAAAUGUGGUGUGUCACGUGUACCUCAUUUUGAUGUACAUGGAGAAGGUUUUAACAAUAAAAAUAGAUAGAAUUUUUAACA